Molecule: ribosomal RNA, 254 nt
Filed under: uncultured bacterium
Lineage: Bacteria
Description: partial 16S ribosomal RNA
Rfam family: Bacterial small subunit ribosomal RNA
Source: RNAcentral
UACGGGGGGAGCAAGCGUUGUUCGGAUUUACUGGGCGUAAAGGGCGCGUAGGCGGCCUCCGCAAGUCGACUGUGAAAUCUCCGGGCUUAACCCGGAAAGGUCAGCCGAAACUGCGGGGCUAGAGUGCAGAAGGGGCAACUGGAAUUCUCGGUGUAGCGGUGAAAUGCGUAGAUAUCGGGAGGAACACCUGUGGCGAAAGCGGCUCACUGGACCACAACUGACGCUGAUGCGCGAAAGCUAGGGGAGCAAACAGG